RNAcentral lists this long non-coding RNA (2564 nucleotides) under Canis lupus familiaris (dog). RNAcentral's name for it is "lncRNA (ENSCAFG00040004792.1)". Lineage: Eukaryota; Metazoa; Chordata; Mammalia; Carnivora; Canidae. The record is from RNAcentral.
GUAUUGUGUAAUGUAUAAAUGUAACAAAUCCUGAACCUGAAAAGUAGCAAAACCUGAACCUAAUAUAAUAUUACAUUGUAUGUCACCUAUACUUCAAUAACAUAACUUCAACAAAUAAUUCAAAGGAGCUUUACAUAAAAUUGGGAAGUCUCUGGCUAUUGUUUUAUGAUAUCUUAUAGAACAAAUGUGUCCAAUAAUCAUACCAUAUAGCCUCUACUCAAAGUUUUAGGUGUAAGUCAAUUCCUUCAACAAGAGGUGGGAGAAAUUAAUUAUCUGCUGUUUCUGUAAGUCACACACACUUAAGGACUUGAUUAUCUUUUUCCUCUAAACUGUGUUAGUGGUUGGAUCAUAGCUGAAUAGUUAGAAGAAUCUUGGUAUUGUCCAGUGAAAUUCCAGAAAAAAAUCAUCAUUCUAAUUUGAGCUAUAUUUAUAAUUAGGGUUGCAUUUUGGGGUGUGAGAAGUUCGAUACAUUUUAUUAUUUUCACAUGACAUCAUUUUUAUAUUUUUGCUUUUCAUCAAAAUAUAUUAUUACAAUGGCAAAAUGGAACAUGAUGAUUCCAGUAUCAUCACCAAGCUGGUUGUUGGGAGAUUUUCAGGUUGCUCCAAGAUGAGAUCCUCCUCUUCUACUUCUCUCUGCUCUACCUGAUGAGUCUCCUUGAAAAUACAACCAUUAUCACCUUAGUCAUUCCGAACUCCAUUCUGCAGACACCCAGUCAGUCAGAGAUGGGGCAAGAUGGUGAAAGAGAAGCGUCCCCAAGGCAUCUGUCACCACCAACUUACCGAGAUAACUUUCAAAUCAUCCUGAAAACCUACAAAUCAGCCUGAGAUUUAAAGAGAGAAAAGCUGGAACGCUACUGUGAUAAAAAUUCGUGCUUCUAUCAAGGUAGGAAGAUGGGAAAAAAUAAAUAAAAAAGGAUCCAAGGGGGAGGAGCCCCCAUGAGGAGCCCUGCUAAGGCCAUGCGGCUAGUGCCUCCAGGACAGGAAAGCCCUGUCCCAGAGAAACAGGAACUUUACCAAUAUUCCCAGAAGGAAAGGCGCUCAUAGGGAACUUAGGGAGGAUCCCAGAAGGGGCAGUGUUGGCCUCAGGUUCCCGGGAUCACUAACAGAGAAAUUGCACCUUGGGGGAGAGUGCCACACACCACAGGCAGAGCUCCCUAAAGGGCUGGAGCGCAUGCCCUGCGGGGCCCAGGGAGCAGCCUGGGCAGUGGCUCUGCACAGAGUGGUGAGAUAAGAUGGAUUAUUGUGAGACACAAAUCCAUCAAAAUCCUAGAGGAGAACACAGGCAACACCCUUUUUGAACUUGGCCACAGCAACUUUUAAAAAUUUUUAAAUAUAUUGAAUAGCAGUGGUGAGAGUGGACAUCCCUGUCUUGUUCCUGAUCUUAGGGGAAAGGCUCCCAGUGCUUCCCCAUUGAGAAGGAUAUUUGCUGUGGGCUUUUCGUAGAUGGCUUUUAAGAUGUCGAGGAAUAUUCCCUCUAUCCCUACACUCUGAAGAGUUUUGAUCUGGAAUGGAUGCUGUAUUUUGUCAAAUGCUUUCUCUGCAUCUAAUGAGAGGAUCAUAUGGUUCUUGGUUUUUCUCUUGCUGAUAUGAUGAAUCACAUUGAUUAUUUUACGAGUGUUGAACCAGCCUUGUGUCCCGGGGAUAAAUCCUACUUGGUCAUGGUGAAUAAUUUUCUUAAUGUACUGUUGGAUCUUAUUGGCUAGUAUCUUGUUGAGAAUUUUUGCAUCCAUGUUCAUCAGGGAUAUCGGUCUGCAAUUCUCCUUUUUGGUGGGGUCUUUGUCUGGUUUUGGAAUUAAGGUGAUGCUGGCCUCAUAGAAUGAAUUUGGAAGUACUCCAUCUCUUUCUAUCUUUCCAAACAGCUUUAGUAGAAUAGGUAUGGUUUCUUAUUUAAACGUUUGAUAGAAUUCCUCUGGGAAGCCAUCUGGCCCUGGACUCUUAUGUCUUGGGAGGUUUUUGAUGACUGCUUCAAUUUCUUCUCUGGUUAUUGGCCUGUUCAGGUUUUCUAUUUCUUCCUGUUCCAGUUUUGGAAAUUUGUGGCUUUCCAGGAAUGCGUCCAUUUCUUCUAGAUUGCCUAAUUUAUUGGCGUAUAGCUGUUCAUAAUAUGUUUUUAAAAUCGUUGUAUUUCCUUGGUGUUGGUAGUGAUCUGUCCUUUCUCAUUCAUGAUUUUAUUAAUUUGAGUCUUCUCUCUCUUCUUUUUAAUAAGGCUGGCUAAUGGUUUAUCUAUCUUAUUAAUUCUUUCAAAGAACCAACUCCUGGUUUUGUUGAUCUGUUCCACAGUUCUGGUCUCGAUUUCGUUGAGUUCUGCUCAACUCUUUAUUAAUUCUAUUCUUCUGCUGGGUGUAGGAUCUAUUUGCUGUUUUUUUCUCUAGCUCCUUUAGGUGUAAGGUUAGCUUUUGUAUUUGAGUUCUCUCCAGUUUUUUAAUGGAUGCUUGUUAUUUCCCCUUAGGACUGCUUUUGCUGCAUCCCAAAGAUUUUUAACGGUUGUAUCUUCAUAGAAAACCCAAAAGCCUCCACCUCAAGAUUGCUAGAACUCAUACAGCUAUUUGGCAGCGUGGCAGGAUACA